AGUGAACGCUGGCGGCAGGCCUAAUACAUGCAAGUCGAACGGCAGCACAGCAGAGCUUGCUCUGUGGGUGGCGAGUGGCGGACGGGUGAGGAAUACAUGGGAAUCUGCCCAGUCGUGGGGGAUAACGUAUGGAAACGUACGCUAAUACCGCAUGCGCCCUACGGGGGAAAGUCGGGGACCGCAAGGCCUGACGCGAUUGGAUGAGCCCAUGUUCGAUUAGCUAGUUGGCGGGGUAAAGGCCCACCAAGGCGACGAUCGAUAGCUGGUCUGAGAGGAUGAUCAGCCACACUGGAACUGAGACACGGUCCAGACUCCUACGGGAGGCAGCAGUAGGGAAUAUUGGACAAUGGGGGCAACCCUGAUCCAGCCAUGCCGCGUGAGUGAAGAAGGCCCUCGGGUUGUAAAGCUCUUUUGUCCGGAAAGAAAAGCAUCUGGUUAAUACCCGGGUGUUCUGACGGUACCGGAAGAAUAAGCACCGGCUAACUUCGUGCCAGGA
RNAcentral lists this ribosomal RNA (496 nucleotides) under uncultured bacterium. RNAcentral's name for it is "bacterial SSU rRNA". It matches the Rfam family "Bacterial small subunit ribosomal RNA", at positions 29 to 513 of the family's 1533-position model. The record is from RNAcentral.